UGGUGCAUGGGGCGAGCCUGACGGAGCACGCCGCGUGAGGGAUGAAGGCCUCUGGGCUGUAAACCUCUUUUAUCAAGGAAGAAGAUCUGACGGUACUUGAUGAAUAAGCCACGGCUAAUUCCGUGCCAGCAGCCGCGGUAAUACGGGAGUGGCAAGCGUUAUCCGGAAUUAUUGGGCGUAAAGCGUCCGCAGGCGGCCCUUCAAGUCUGCUGUUAAAAAGUGGAGCUUAACUCCAUCAUGGCAGUGGAAACUGUUGGGCUUGAGUGUGGUAGGGGCAGAGGGAAUUCCCGGUGUAGCGGUGAAAUGCGUAGAUAUCGGGAAGAACACCAGUGGCGAAGGCGCUCUGCUGGGCCAUCACUGACGCUCAUGGACGAAAGCCAGGGGAGCGAAAGGGAUUAGAUACCCCUGUAGUCCUGGCCGUAAACGAUGAACACUAGGUGUCGGGGGAAUCGACCCCCUCGGUGUCGUAGCCAACGCGUUAAGUGUUCCGCCUGGGGAGUACGCACGCAAGUGUGAAACUCAAAGGAAUUGACGGAUG
RNAcentral lists this ribosomal RNA (538 nucleotides) under uncultured bacterium. RNAcentral's name for it is "bacterial SSU rRNA". It matches the Rfam family "Bacterial small subunit ribosomal RNA", at positions 364 to 919 of the family's 1533-position model. The record is from RNAcentral.